RNAcentral lists this long non-coding RNA (37206 nucleotides) under Citrus x clementina. RNAcentral's name for it is "Citrus clementina (C. clementina) long non-coding RNA (CCLE_LNC005363)". The record is from RNAcentral. Lineage: Eukaryota; Viridiplantae; Streptophyta; Magnoliopsida; Sapindales; Rutaceae.
GUUCCGGGUUUAUCAAGUGAUGCCCAAGACCGACCCGACUUCAUACCCGGGCCGGGUAAUAUCCGGCCCGCAACACCCGGGUACGGUCCGGGUCCGGACCGGGCGGGUAUUUUUGCCACCUCUAGGUGUGAUGUUACUUUAGACUGGAGAUAAUGCUUAUACUUUUAUUUGAUUGCUAUCAUUAAUCUGAUUGAAUAAACACGAGUGUUUCUAAAUUUUAAAAAAAAAAUCAUUUUGAAUUUGAAUUUUAUUUUCGCUUCAUUUGCUAGGGACUAGCAAUAAGUUGGUUGGGGGGUGUGUUGAGUGUUAGAAAAUGCAUAUUUAUAAAGUAGAAAACCGUCAUUUUACAUUUCAAGUCUUACUAACAACCCUUACUUUUAUGUGUUUAACCUUCUUGUGAUUUAAUUACAUGUGUUUUAUUUUAAUUAAGUAUUUUAUGUAUUUUAGGGGCAUUAUAGUCAUUUCACAAUAAACGAGAAAUCAGAUGGCAAAACGGACAUCACUUUUGAACUCAAGACGGUCGAAAACCUUAGGAGGAGCAUAAAAGGAAAAAUGGCAUUGUUCACAUGUACGGUACUGUAUACAUUACUGUUCACGACACUGUUCACAUAGACGAACCGAUGAUGUGGCAUUGACUGAUGAGGUGUCACGAUCCUGUUGGACUAAAAUUCUUAUAUACUGUUGAUGGUGACGUGGCAGCAUAUCAGUGGACGAAAAAUCUCGCAUACGGUGCAUGCAUCACACAGGAUUAUUUUCAACCAAACCGCGUUACUGUUAAUUCGGGUCAAACCGUGUUACUGUUAAUCCGUGGUCAAACCGUGGACUGUUGACUGAUGACGUGGUGCAAUCCUGAGCGUCCAAACUGUUUUUAAUCCGAUGGCCAUGAUUUACUCCACGUAUCUAUAAAAAGGGGGCCUCUCCCCCUAAUUUGAUAUCUCUGAAUCCAUUUUUGGGAUCCAUUUUCUGUAAUUCCUUCUCCAUCUUGUAUUUUCUUCGUAUUUUAAUAAAUUCCCAUUUUGCCCCUAGUUCAAUUAUGAGUGGCUAAUUUUCUUUCAAGCUUGGGUUGAAAGUGAAGUCUCAACAUGUGUCAUGGGCUUAAUUUCGUAAAUUUAUUUUCUCUUCCCCUCUAAUUUUUGUGGAUGUUUUGACUUCUCGUCGACAAAUAAUAAUAGUCUUGUCUAGAUACCGCCUUGGUUACACCGGCUCUCUAGUAUAAGGUUAUUAUUAUUUGGCACGAUAAGCCAUUAGCACCAUAUUGAUUAGAGCGUGGUUCAUGAGGUGUGGAUUUCCCCCUUAUGAUUUAAUUGGCAUUAAUACGGAUUAUUUAGCCCAUGAUGCAUGUUGAUACGGAUCCAGAUACCCAAGUACGUCAUUUCAAUAUAAUUCUCUUCAAUUUAUUCUCGCCAUUUCAAUACCAAUUUUAGAAUUUAUUCUCGCCAUUUUAAUUUAAGUUUUAGCAUAUUCCAAAUCAUUUCCACUACAAAUCCAACCACCCAUUUACAAAAUUAAUUCUAUAUAUAAUUAAAAUCCACCUCCUCGUGGGAUCGACACUCGUCACCAUUAGUCUAUACUACAAUAGAUUCGUGCGCUUGCGAGUACAUUAAAAUUUGCACAACAUUGGGAGUGAAUAUUCACUCUUUGAAAAAAAUGAGAAAUUUUCAAUUUCUCAAGUUCAUCCUAUUAUUUUCUUAUUAUUUUUAAUUCUAAUAAUUUAUCAAGGCCUUGUUCAUCUAUUAUAUCUUCAGUUCUUGCUCUAAUACCAAAGAAGAGAAAAAGGGGUUUAAAAGGUGAAGGGAAGAUACUUGUAAGUGGCUUGUUAUACCGACAAUGCAGACUGAUAUAGUUUCCCAUUUGGGUUAACGAUCAUAAUAUAUGUUGCUAAUUUCCCACUUGUAUACAGUGAGUUCCCAAAAAGUUUUGUGAAAACUACAAAAGCUAUCUUGGCAAAAACUAGCUUUUCGAAGCUUAUUAAACUGAUUAUGAAAACCUAUUAGUUAAAAAUACUUUCAAACUCCUGACUUACACUCAAAAACGCCUUCUCAACACAUUAACGGUUAAAUAGGCCAACAAAGACCAUGUUUACAAAAAAGCUUUCGGAAAAUUAGCAACAACCUCAACUACGUUCUUGGUAGGAGCAGCAGAGGCGGCUUGUGCCCUAGACAACUUAGGCGGUUGCCUAGGGCCCCCGCCAUGAUGAAGGCCCCAAAUUUGGGAUAUUAAUUUUUAAUUUUUUAAAUUUAAUUGAUAAUAAUUAAUUUGCUUUAAAUAAGGUAAACCAUAUUAAGUAUUAAUUAAAAGAUUCCAGCUAAAAAUAAUGGAUAAGACUUAAAAAAAUUUCAAAUUGGAAGCUUUUGAUUGCAUUUAGAUUUAGGCUAAUAAAUGUUAUUACAUUUUCAAAGAAUAAACGUUCAUAUUAGGUAGUUGAGUGCACUUAGAAUCUGGUUAAUAAAUAUUAUUAUAUUUUCAAGAAAUAACUUUCAAAUUUGAUAGUUAUAUAUUGCAUUUGGAAUUCACCUAAUUUUUCAUACUUUAGUGAAUUACUCCCCAUUAAAAAAAAAGUGAAUUACUCCAAAAGCAAAAGAAACGUGUCUACAAGAAAAAAAAACAAAAACAUUAUUUUUUCUCCACUGCAACUUUUUUCUCUAGUCAUUGAUCAUUGCUCCCAACUACUGUUGAAAGCCACAUUGCCACAAUCUCAAAAUUAAAGUUAAUUUGUGAUUUAAGUUCAAAGUUCCAAGUUUUAUCUUUCUAUUCUCUUGAAUCUCUAUUAUUUAUUUGUGCUAUUUUUUUCUUAUACAUAUUCUUGUAUUCACUUGUUUUGAUUUAAUUUAUCUAGCAUAAUUGUGUGCAUGCUUUAUUAUUAUUCUAUUUUAAUAAUAAAUAAUGUCUACAAGAAAAUAUGAAUCAAGAUAUCAAAACUGCAAAAAAAAGAUAAGAAUAGAAAAGUUAGUUCAAUCACAUAAAGGAGUCCUUGAUAAGUUUGUUAGGAGUGAUAAAAAAAAAAGUGAAUUUGAGUGAAGAAUUAGUAAUUGAACAAACUCAAGUUGAAUUAUUAGAUGAUGAAGUGUCUAAUGAUAAAAAUGACACCGAAGAUAAUAAUAAUAAUCAGAAUGAAAGUGAAAUUAGAGAUGAAACUGAAGAUCUAGGAGAGUUCCAUUUUCCAAAUAAUAUUUAUGAUCCUAGUAGAUGGGAAAAUAUAGAUACAAAAUUAAGAGAUUUCCUUGUAGAGAAAGGUCCAAUUAAAGAGAAUAAUUUAAUUUUUCCAAAGGAUGAAGAUGGCUAGUAUAUUCAAAAGAUUUUGAUAAAGUUUAUUAUUUCUGUUGCAAAUUAUUCAAUGCAAACUCUAAUAAAAGUCAACUAAGUAAUGAGGAACUAAUGAUUGGAAAAACCUUAGUGUUAAACUUAAAAGUCAUGAAACCAGCACUGCACAUAUCACUAAUAUGAACAUGUGGAUUGAAUUAGAAGAAAGAUUAUUGAAGAAAAGAACAAUUGACAAAGAUAUUCAAGAAAAAAUCAAUAAGGAAAGAGAUCAUUGGGAAUAAGUACUAAUAAGAAUUAUCGUUGUUGUAAAGAAUCUUACAAAGAAUAAUUUAGCAUUUCGUGGAAAGAACGAGAAAAUAUACCAAGAGACUAAUGGAAAUUUUCUAAGUUUAAUUGAAAUGAUUGCAGAAUUUGAUCCAACAAUGCAAGAACAUAUACAUCAUAUUAAAAAUGGUGAAAUUCAUAAUCAUUACCUUAGGCAUAACAUACAAAAUGAAUUGAUACAAAUGUUAGGAGUGGAAGUAAAAAAUUCAAUAAUUAAGAAGAUUAAAUAAGCAAAAUAUUUCUCAGUUAUACUUGAUUGUACUCCAGAUACAAGCCACCAAGAACAAAUGUCUAUUGUAUUGAGAUGUGUAGAUAUUUCAAUGGAUCCAGUGAAAAUAGAAGAUUUUUUUUUAAAAAAUUUUUAAAAGUUGAUGCCUCUAGUGGAAAAGGCCUUUUUAAUGAACUCAUAGAUGCCAUAAAAGCUCUUGAACUUGACAAUGAUGAUGUAAGAGGACAAGGAUAUGAUAAUGGUUCUAAUAUGAAAGGAAAAAAUUAAGGUGUACAAAAAAGAUUACUAGAAAUUAAUCCUAGAGCAUUUUAUACAUCAUGUGGUUGUCAUAGUCUUAAUUUAGUGCUUUGUGAUAUGGCUAAUUCUUAUUCUAGAGCUAGUUCAUUUUUUUGGAGUUGUACAACGUAUUUAUUCAUUAUUUUCUUCUUCAACAAAGCGAUGGAAAUUUUUGCAAGAACAUGUACCCAAUUUGACUAUUAAAUCAUUGUCACAAACACGUUGGGAAAGUCGAAUUGAAAGUGUAAAAGCAAUCAGAUUUCAAGCUCCACAAAUAAGAGAUGCAUUACUUGAAUUAGCAAAAAUAAGUGAAUAUUCUAAAAUAAAGAGUGAAGCUAAGUGUCUAGCAACAUAUGAAUUAGAAAAUUUUGAAUUCUUGCUAGGUAUGGUUAUUUGGUAUGACAUAUUAUUUUCUAUUAAUUCGGUGAGUAAGAACUUGCAAAAAGAAGAUAUGCAUAUUGAUAUUGCCAUACAUCAACUUAAAGGACUUAUUUCUUUUUUUGAAAACUAUAGAGAAAAUGGAUUGGUGUCUGCUAUGAUUUCAACUAAAGAAAUUGCUUGUGCAAUAGAAAUUAAACCUAAAUUUAAUGAGAAAAGAAUGAUCCGUAGGAAAAGAAAUUUUGAUGAAAAAAUUGUUGAAGUUCAAAGUGUCUCCUGAAGAUUCUUUUAGAAUUAAUUAUUUUAUAGACAUAGUAGAUCAAGCUAUUUCAUCAAUUAGGAGUAGAUUUGAACAAUUUCAAAUGUAUGAGAAUAUGUUUGGAUUUUUGUUUAAUUUCAAAAAAUUAAAAUAUUUAAGUGAUGAUGUUUUAAAAACUUCUUGUGUUAAUCUUGAAAAUACUUUAAAACAUGGUACGUUUUCUGAUGUAGAUGGUUUAGAUUUGUUUUCUGAGCUAAAAGUUUUAAAAGAAAAUUUUCAAGGUGAAAAUAAUUCUCCAAUUGAGGUGCUUAAUUAUUUAAAAAGAGUUGAUUCUUUUCCAAAUACAUUUAUUACCUAUAGAAUAUUAUUAACAAUACCGGUAACUGUUGCUUUUGCAGAAAGAAGUUUUUCAAAAUUAAAACUGAUAAAAAAUUAUUUUAGAUCAACCAUGUCACAAAAAAGAUUAAAUGGAUUAGCUAUAUUGUCUAUUGAGAAAGAUAUAUUAGUAAAAUUAGAAUACAAAAAUUUGAUUAAUAAAUUUGCAUCUCAGAAAGCUAGAAAAAUUGAUUUUAAAUAGUUUUUGUUUUCGUAUAAUUCAUUCAUAUAUAUUUUUUCUUCAAUUUUUUUGUAGGAGGCCUAAUUUUAACAACUCGCCUAAGGUCCCGAUUUUAGUUGAGCCGGCCCUGAGGAGUAGUAAUGUAGCAAUACUCAUUUGAUCUAAUUAGCAGGCACUAAAAUUACAGAAUUCAUAAUAUGUUAUUGUAUAAAUAAAUUUAUGUGGUCAUAAGUCAUAAAUUAAGAGGGAGAGGCCCGAGAGUGAUUUACAAAGAUGCAGAUGAUGCCAAAUAAUACCCAAGAAUGUGGUAUUCGCUUUUUUUUUGUUUAAUUUUUGUUUGUGUUUCUAUUGUUUUUUAUUAUCUUGUAAAAAUAAGGCGACUCUUUCUUGAUUUAAGUUAAAAUAACAAAAAUCGUGAAGCAACUCUUAUGUUAUCAUCUACAACUAACUAUUAAUCACUUCGGUGUAUUUAUUGAGAAAAUUAAAUCAAGAAUCCUGUUCCCAACCUAAAUCCCUUAAAAAAUGAUGGUGCAUGCGGAUCAAAAAGCUAAUUAACAGGACAAGGUUUAUUGGUUGCCGAUGAUUAAAGUAGGAUAGUGCUCCUGGGAAAGAGACAAAGGUCGGUGGUGAUGAAACGAUCACGUGAGUAUGACGUGGCUGCAGGAUCUUAUCAUCCCAUGUAGUUGUGUUUGGCUUUUUGGCUAGAAAGUUGAUAUAAGAGAACGGAGAAGAAAAAAAGAAAUUUUUUAAAGUUAAAAGUGGAAAUGGGUACAGACAGACUCACAGACAGCACAAUGUCUUAUCUUAUGUCUAGUCUUCAUUCUAACAGGACCAGCACCAAGACCCAUGAUAUAUAUAUAUAUAUAUAUAAGCAUGCAAUAUAUAUAUAUAAGCAUGCAUUUUGACCAUGGAAAGCCUGAAGCCAUCCAUUUUACAAAAUUUUCACAAAAGACUCAAAAUUGACUAGUGGGUUCCCAAGGUUUUGGGAUUUUAACUAGGUUUAGGAAGGGGGUAUAUAUAUAUAUAUAUAUAUAUAUAUAUAUAUAUAUAUCUAGACUAUACUAGCCAGUUGGUAUUUGAGGACAAGAAUUGGUUCAGGAAACAGAAUUCUAAACUAGACUAAAACACUUGGUAGAAAAAGACAUGAGAAUGUCCAGUCUUGUCUCUCAACGCCCGCUUAGGGAAUCCAAAAUCCCAAAUUCUACCUAAUUGUGUUUAAAUGCAUUAUUAUAAGUCAAAUAUAUAGUUGCAUCAAAAUCUGAAGAAUUUAAAAAACUGAUUAAGAAACCAAAUGUAUGUUCGAGGAAUGUUCGUAGAGAAACUUUUUCAUCCUAUGUAACGUACAUUAAUUUAAAAUUAAUUUUUUUUACAACUCAGGUCUUGGUUAUCAAAUAAUUAGAUGGUCAUGAGAGAUUAAUUUUGAGUGAACGAUAAGUUGCAUAUUAUAUAAUUAGUAGCUUCCAAAGUAAUCUUAUUACCAGCAAACAUAAUUAGUUUAAUUCAAUAAGUUAAGGAGCCAAAGUCGGCGGAGGACUGGAGGAGGGUGGAGCUCAAAACUAUAAUACGUUUUAAGAAAUUUUAACAAAAAUAAUAAAUGGUACUAUUUUGGACUUAAUAAUUUUUUUCCCUCCUCAGAAAACACAUUUACAAUUGUCUUAAGUAUAUUUUCGUAUUGUGAACACGUUUAAAUAAUAAAUUUGUUAUUUUAAAAUUUUUUUUUGAAUAUUAUAUUAGAUAUUGCAAUAUGAAUAGUGAUCAGAUAUAGCCAAAAGUACCUAUAGAGCCUGCAUCAUUGUAUCAAACUUGAAGUCUAGCAGAGAAAUCUGAAACCAAAGAAAAUAAUAAAUAAAUAUAUUCUACACCUAAGGGAAUACCCUAACCCUCAAUCUUAAGAUUGAGGUGAGGAGACUCAAUUAUGGAACUCUCGACUUUAAGGUUGAGGCGAAGAGAUCCUUACCAACUCAACUGAUGAGCUGCUAACAGUAUUAAAUUUAUUGCUAUUAUUUCAAUAUAAGUAUAAUAAAAUUAUCGUUCAAUCAUUAAUGGAUAGAUUUAAUCCAAUGAUAGUGUUUUUUAGAGGAGAAAUUAUUUGGAUUUUAUGUGGGUUAAACAUAUAAAUUAUGUAUAAUUGCAUAUUGAGAGAAGAUUUACGAUUAAUAGAGACAUUGAUAAGGAGUAAGAAAAAAAAACAAGAAAAAAAAUUGAAAGAAGGCUAGACUGUUGCUCAAAAUAAAUAAACCAAAAGUAUGAUUUAACAAGGGUAUUUAAAAGUUUUCAAUGUUUAGAAUGGCUUCCACCCUUUUGAGCCCAUAAAAGUUUUACCUAUAAUUACGUUUAGAAAAAUAAAAAUGGUAGAUCAUACAUACAUACAUACAUGCAUACAUACACACAUACACACACACACACACACACACACAUAUAUAUAUAUAUAUAUAUUUCAUGUCCUUCCACAAUAAAUAAAUAAAUAAAGUUUCACGUGAUGUGUUAUUGUUACUAGCUAAAAACCGAUGCUAGGUCCAAAGGCCCAAUCUAACCCAUUUUAUGGUGGAUCGAAGCCACUCUAUUGGGAUAACCGCAUUUGGUUGUGGUUUGAGAGACAUAAAUACAUCAAAGUGCUGUUAAGCAUGCUUGAAGGAUCUUAAACCAUAACGGAACGUUCUAAAAAAUGAGUUAGUGGAAAACCAAUUACUAUAUAAAUAAUAAUAAUAAUAAUAAGCUUAGACUAAAAUAAUAAAUCCUGUUGAAACUCAAUAGGCAUAGUUAACAAUUAAUACAAUGCUUAUAAAAUUGUUAAUAAAAAUGUCUAAGCAUGCAUGAAAUAUGAUGCAAGCACGCAUGCAAAUUAGUGCAAAGAUGAAAGUCAAUAGACAUUGUUAACAAUUAAUAUAAUGCUUAUUAAACUUUUAACAAAAAUGGUUAAGCAUGUAUGAAAUUUAAUGCAUACAAAUCAAUGUAAAGGUAAAAGUCAAUAGUCAUGAUCAACAACUAGUACAAUGCUUACGAAAUUAUCAACAGAAAUUGCAAAGCAUAUGUGAAAUUUUAACAUAUGUGAAAUUUUAAUGCAAACAUGCAUACAAAUGAAUAUAAAGGAAGAAAUGAAGUCUGUAGAUAGCAGGCCUCACAAUCCGUUCAGGCAUCCAUCGUCUUGGUUAAAUAAUCUAAGAGAUAAUUAAAAGUAAGUUAAAGGGUAUUUUUUAAAACUAAUUUUUUUAAAAAAAAAUUAGAUCCAGUUUGGAAAUGUUUCCAAAAUAAUGUCUGAGAAAACAUUUUCAGUAUUCUCCCAUAAACAUUUCUAUGAAAACAUUUCAAAAUUCUUCCAAAAACAUUUUCUAAAACAAUUUCCAAACACAUUCCAUAUUUAUUUUCCAAAUUUACACUUUCUAAGCUAUAACAAUUCUAGAACAUUAACAUUAAGUUAUUGGUUCUUCAUUAUUCCGUGGUGUACUCCACUCCCACGUUACUAUUCACAACAGGAGUCGUUAUUGUUCAAAUACAAAUCCACUACUCAAUGAAACAAUAGGCAAAGUCAAAGUUACAAUAGGAGUUUAUUUAGGCUAUACCAAGGUCUGAAUAUGCUUUGGGAUUUUACGCUCCAGACCACACAAUAGAGUUCAAGUGGAUCACAUACACUAAGCCUGAAUUUUCAAUCAAACCCAAUCUUAUUUUAAUCGGGAAAGAGCUAUCCGUAUGAUAUGUAGCCCUUGUGAAAUUCCUGGCUCNNNNNNNNNNNNNNNNNNNNNNNNNNNNNNNNNNNNNNNNNNNNNNNNNNNNNNNNNNNNNNNNNNNNNNNNNNNNNNNNNNNNNNNNNNNNNNNNNNNNCUAUGAGCAUCGUCUAGGAUGAUAUUCUUUAAGUUAAACUACUUUUCAUUUUUUUUUUUGCCCCUCAAAGAUUGAUACAUUAGUUAGAUUUGUCAUUGACCUAGGGGUUGGGUAUUUUUGUUAAGAUACAUAAUGUAAUCUCAAACAAAAAAUUUAUAGAUUUUUCCGACCGACAUAGGUUCCGAGACAGCACAUCGUUUGUUUGUGAGACAAUUCUCACUUCAUUAACUGAAAAUACAACGUUAAUUAAUGCAUGCAAUGCGAAGCACCAAAAAAGAAAUCUGCACACACACAGUAAUAAUAAAAAUAAUGUUAUUGGAGACACAAGGAGAGACAAAAGCACCGUCAGAUCCCAAUACCGAUGCACCAACCGGGGCUUUGAUGAACUGAUGGCAACUAAAAUUAAAUCAUAAUAAAUUAAUUUCUUCCAAAUUCCUAAAAAUAACAGCCCCCGUGCCCCCCCGGCCCUUCCCCCCCCAGAAGAUUUCACGAGAAUCGAACUUUUUCUCCAAAUAAUGCAGCAGCCGAAGCAGCUGAGGCAGACGCAUAGCAGAAAUAUGUUUUAUCAUUAAUAACUGAUAGGAGAAGUAAGCUAGCUGUCGUUAUUGUGUUUUUUGUUUUUCGAAAACGACAAAUCGUAUCUAAAGCCAAGGUUAAAUUUUGAAAAAAAGAAAAAAGAGCAGUCAACGUUCGGAUGACGUCAGCAUGCGGCAGGUGUAAGUAUGCAAGUGGAAACAAAAGCUGAGAAAAGCCGUCACGUCGGAUAUGCUUUAAACGGCUCAUGAAAGAGGAGAGAGUGUGUGGAGUUGGGGGGUAGGGCUUCCGAUUUUAAAAAGUUGUGCUUUGCUUCAGACUUUUGCUUUUGGCCUUUUGGUGUAAAGAAAUAAAGGACACAAAAGAAAAAAAAAAGCAGACUUUGCUGCGUGCCAAACGGGAUAAAAUGGGUCAAAGAGAGGAGACCAAGCAACAGCAAAAUCCACACGUAUGACACACCUCUCCCUAAUUUGCCAACACUUACUGAAUUCUGACUUAAUUUUUAAUUAAUUUCGCUGCUUUUGCAGCUAAUUUUGUUCCUCAAACCUGAGAUGGGGUGGGGAUGGGCCGAUGGGAUCAUGCGACCAUUUUUCGGAAAAAAAAAAUUUAAGGAUAUAGUUAUUGGUGAUGAUAAAUUUGCUCUUGCUAGUAAUUGAGAGAAUUUUUAAUUUUUUGUCCACAUUUAUGAGAGGAGAUGUUUGAGUUUCGAAUAAAAAUCCUCUCCUGAUGUGAACUCUCAUGAGUUUUUAAAGAUUUUAUAUCAUGUAUAUUUAAGUGAUAGUAUAUGGAUAGAAUUUAAUUUCUUUAUUUUUUUUAUCUAUUAAUUACCAAUCACCCAUAUGUAUUUUUACUUAAGAAGAUAUUAGAUCAUGAGAGAAUUCUGAUCCUUGAGUUUUGGUAUAGAUUCGAACUUGUGUCAUUUUCAAAGUUGAGCCAGUAAGUUCGUCAUUAGACUAACAUUUCAAUGGCAAGUGACUUGUUACAUAUGACGAGGGGUGAAUUGAUUUCUUAAUGCUUACCAUACAGUCCCAAAUGUCAUUAAAAAUUUCAAAACUUUUGGUUGUAUAUUCAAACUUAUGGAUUACGCAAUGCAAUAUCUAAGAUUUGUAAUAAAUAAAUUUGUUUUGUAGGUGAAAAAAAAAAAAAAUUUUGUAACAAAAAUGUGAGAAGAACAUUACAUAUAUAUGCAUGAGCUAUUUUAAUCCAAACUCACUUUUAUAUAAAUAAUUCACGUGAUAAAUUUAUAAAUGAUCCUAAUAUUUAUGUAUUGUAAAAUAUUACCAAAUUUUCAAAGAACUUCAAGGCUUCCCAAUUAACUUACAGAAAAAUAACUUUUAACACGUCACAGACCUAAUUCGAAAGUUCAAUUUUAGCAAGAGAUGAAUUUUUCUUCUUUAAUAUAUAUAUAUAUAUAUAUCCGGACGCCCAACUGCCCAUUACAUCAUGUUGUGAUCAGAAUCUUUGUCGGAAUAAAAAAUUACAGCAAUUGCCACUGCCGUUCCGUGGCUUCGAUUGGACAGUAGCACGAGUUCUUAAUUUUAUCCAAACUAACAUGUAGAUUAAGCGCACACGUCUUAUUUUUCAGAUAGUUAAAUUUCUUGUCGCCUAAUCAUCCUUUUAAGAGUUAGUGCACGUGCCAUUGUCCACCACUUUGUCAAGGUUGUUACUAAAAUAAUAUUUCCUUAAUAUUUAUUUUCUUUAAUCUCAACUAAUAUGAUGAUCAAAUAUGAGGAAGUGGGGAUAUUUCCACCCUAAAAAUUGUGUAAAUCCAUUUGAUUUUAAAAGUUUAUUUAUAAAAAUUUGCAAUAUUUUUUUAUUAUGAUAGAAAAACUUAUAAAUAAUUGAUCAAUAAGAUCGUUCUCAAAAUCAAUAGAUUUCAUGAAAUAAAUAGAAUAAAUUUUCUACUGAGUUAAUUUCGUGAGAUAUCAUGUUACAAAUAUAUUUUGCUAGUUUAAUUGAGGUUCAAUAAUCAUAUUAAUGAGGAUUUACUUGGUUUAUUGUUCUAUAAAAAAAUUGGUUAAUUGAUCAAAUUUACUUUUAAUUUGAAAUAGUUAAAAAUAAAAUAAAACAUCGAUAAGUUAAUAAAAUUGGGACAUAGAAAAUUUAUUAAUUUACCAACUAUAUCAAUAAAUUAAUAAAUUAUUAAUUUAUGAAGAAAUUCCUUAUUUUUUGAAAAUAUGACCACAUUUAUAUUAUUUAUUUACUCUUAUUAUAUUUUAUUUGAAUAAUAGUGUGUUAUCUUACAUUGGUAGUAAUUAAAUUAUUGUAGAGGUUUGUUUUUCUAUAUUAAAGAUGAUAUAUAGAGACUGUCUCACGCUUGUUGCAAAAUAACAAUGCAAACUAGAAUUUCGCAUUACAAAAAGAGUCAGAGAUGAGAUUUAAUUCCAAAUUAAUUUCAAGAAACAAUAAAGAUAGAUAACAUAUUUUACAAAAGCAUGUAAUUAUUAAUUUAUAUGUUAAUGGAUCCUAUAGGAAAAUAAAACUUCAAAAAAUUAUUAACUUAAAAAUUAACUGAAUUAUUAAUUUAUCAUAUUAGUUCUAAAUUAAAACCAGUAAAAAUUAUUAGUUAAUCAAGGUUAUCAAUUUAUCAAGAUUGUAUUGAAAUGUGAACUUUUUUUUUAUUAAUUUUUCUAAAGCGUGGGGUGUGAAUGCACGCAAUUUGAGGGUGAAAAUAUUAGCCGGCCUUAGAAUAUUCGCAUCACUCAUCAUUUUGAUAAUAAGACACUAUAAUCUCACAAUCGACUAAAUUUGUCAAACUAGAUCCACACAAGUUAGAAAUAACUUUGAUGCAGAGAUAUGUUCAUGAUGAUGCACAAAUGUUCAUAAUGACGACCAAAGAUUUGUACGUAACCAUGAAAAAAUUAAUAAACAUUUUCAAUGAAACUAAUUUUGUCCUCCCCAACACAAAUUGGUAGGCCACAAUGAAGCAAAUGGAUGACAUGCAUGGUGAAAAAAUUAUCUGUAAAACGUGGUUGCUGAUUAAUGAAUAAAAUUAAAAAUAAUUAAAAAGUUAGAUUAAUUAUUCCAAAGAAAAAAAAAAGUUAGACUAAUGGAAAAAAGAAAAAUGAGCGGCCGACAUGCAAUGUAUGAGGCGAUGGUUAUCGUGAGCACACCACAACAUGGUCACCGGCUUUUGGCCGCGACAUGUUCCUCGGUUCCCUUUUCUUCUUUACCACCAACACCAUUAUAAAUCUAUCAAAGUUUCUAUUGUCCAUGCUUUACCACGUGCUCAGAUAAUUUUUAAUGCAAUAUAAUUAUGUUUAACAUGUAUUUUAGAAUGCGUUGUACGUUCAUAAUAAUAAAAAUGCCAUCUAAGUGCAAUAACAUGCUUUGGCUUAGUGUUGUGAAAGUAGGUUUAUAUGGAUAAGUUUUUUUUAUGCAGAUGAGUUUUAGUAGACAGUGGCAGAAUCAAGCUUUUAUCUGACAGAGGUUAUGAUAGAUAAAAUAUAAACUUGACCAGGCUCUAAUACAAAAUUUAUAAAAUUGAAGGGGGACAACAACACGGGUUAUAACGAACAAACCAUAAAAUUUAGUAGACAAUCAAAAACUUGUGUGAAAAAUAAAGAGGCUAAACAUAAAAUUCAAAUAAAAUGGGUUCCAGAGUAACUUUUUAGUGUAUAAUUAUCCCCAUUUUAAGAGUAUAAUCAUAGAAAGUUCACUAUAUUUUUUAACAAUUUCAAUUAAAGAAGAAAUUGUAACAAUCAGUCAAUUAAAUCCUCCUUAAAUAACAACGAACCAAUGAAAUCUUCAUUAUUCUUUUUAUGAUUUUGUUGUUGACGACCUUUAACCAUUAAUGUAUCUUAAAAAAAAAACAUUGUUAUUGAAUUAGAAUUUGACUAUUUUGCUCUUAUAUGGUAAAAGUACAAAAAUACUGACAAAUUAUUUUGACUUCAUCAUUUUUUGGGGUAAUUUUUAAAAACCUCCCCUGAGGUUUGGGCUUGUUGCAAGUAGAUGGCGAGAAUUGAUUUAUUUGUAAAAAAUCCCCUACCGUCAGUUAAGUUUAACAUUGACCGUUAGUUGACCAUGCAAAGACAAUAUUACCCUUAACAAUAGUUUGUAAACGAAAAUAACUAAAAAAAAACCAAAAUUAUUGGUGCAAAAAGCACAAAUCCUAUUUUUUGACAAUUUUAUCCUUGUCAAUUCUAAAAAUUUACAAUAUCAUAGGUAAAGAUUAUGACUAUUUCAUUUUUAAAUUUUUAAUUUUAUCUUUCUUGUAAGAAUUUUAAGGAAAUAUUAAUAAUUUAAAGAGGAUUUUUUAAUUUUUUAAUUUUAAUUUUUUAUAAGAACUUUAAGAAAAUAUCAAUAAUUUAAAAAGUGUAAAAUAGCUAAUAAUUUUGGUUUUUUUUAUAGUUAUUUUCGUUUAUAAACUAUUUUUAAGGGUAAUAUUGUCUUUGCACGGUCAACUAACGGUCAAUGUUAAACUUAACUGACGCUAAGGGGUUUUUUACAAAUAAAUCAAUUCUCGCCAUCUACUUGCAACAAGCCCAAACCUCAGGGGAGGUUUUUAAAAAUUACCCUCAUUUUUUGUACAAAAAUUUAUAUUUUUCAAGAUGAUUUACCUAUUGUACUUCAUUAAUAUGAUUAUUAGGGGUAAAAUAGUCAAAUUAUAGCGAUAGCAAUUUAAUAAAAAAGAAAAAAAUCUAAUUGACUAAUUAGUUAAACUUUUUCUCUAUUUAAAUUGUAAAGAGUAAAGUUCAUUUUUUUUUUAAUAAAUAACUACUAAAAUAAGAUGGGCUUACAUAAAUUGUCGGGUAAAAAUAUUUCCACCCUUAAUUUGGGGGUAGAGAUGGCCAACAAGCUUUUUGCUUAGGCCCGGUCCGGCACACGUGUCGUGCUGUGGGUCAUGUCGUGCCGUGUACAGGAAAAAAAAGCUCACUAAGUUUUUUUUUUUUUUUUAAGAGCGCAUGCCAAUUAGUUGUCUUACUUUUUUAAGUCUAUGUACUUUUUUGAAUCCAUGUGCCUUUAUUCAAAUUUAAUAGAAUAAAAAAUUCAAACUCAAGUCCAUAUUUAAUAAUAAUAAAUUAAUAAUAAUAAGAGAAUAUAAUAUUAGUUACUAAGUUUGACUCUAUAGUAUUAAAAUUCUUUUUUAGUACCUAACAACAAUAAUAAUAAUACUUUUGUUAAGGGUUAACUUAAUUCUUAACUUGAAAUUAUGUAGAGUCAUAUAUCAUAGUUUAUAAUAAUAUUAAUACAUAUUUAUAAAAUCAUGAUAUCUAUAAUUUUAUUUAUUAAAAUCAUGAUAUCAAUUAUUUAUUCAAUAAAUUAUAAACAUAAAUCAAUUAUAUUUUUUUGAAACUAAGAAUUAAAUAAAUUUUAAAAACUUGAGCUAAUAAAAUAUAUUAAAAGAUUCAAUUUCAAGUUAUUUAUAAAAUUAUAAAAUUUUAAGUUUACUUUCAUUAAAAAAUAAAGCGUGCUUAUUGCGUAUUUUUUCGAGUGUCAUGCUUUGACUCAUCUCUAAUCGUGUCAUACUUUUAAGGCCCACGUGCCUAAAAUUCUAAGCUCGGCCCAGCCCACGUGCGUGUCAUGCCGUGCCGCGUGCUCUACCGAAACAUACUCGUGCCGUGCCAUGUUGUACAGACAUGUGUCGUGCCCGUGCCAUACCUCGUGCCGUCCGGCCCAUUGGGCACCUCUACUUGGGAGCACCCUAGCCACCUUAUAAAUACACAGGAUUCCACCAAUAGGCCAUAGAUGAUCUAAAUCCAGGCAAAUCCCAGUAAAUCGAUAACACAUCAAAAAAUAAAAAAUUUUGUCGAGAUUUUUGAUGCUCUGAGGUUUUUUAUUUAUUUUAAGAAUAAUAUUGAAUAUCUCAAAACUGCUUUCCAAGUUUUAUGUUUAUAUGCCUAGUGUUUAAAUUCUAUUAUGGUUACAUCCACUAAAAUAAUAAUAAAGCCCAAUUAUAUAAUAUAUCCAUAUAGACUGUAACCAUUUACAAACGAAUCCUUGCUUAACAAGAAAAUUUAGAUUAGGUGGAAUUUUUAAAAAAUAAAAAUAAAGAAUUGACAAUCUGGGGCAUUCAAACUCAUGAUAAUCAUUAAAGAAACUGGCAGCAUCUCAUAUAUGCUCUGUUUUGGCCUCUUCCUUUUAGGCAGAAUCAUGUAAAUAAAUGAUCGUUUUCCACAUCUAGCUCACUCCAACUCUGCAACUCAAUCCCCGGCCUUGUUUCAACAGAAAAGGUAAAAGCAACGGAGAUAGAGAAAGGGCAUCAUUCAAAAACAUGCAGCCCUUAAAAGUUGAAGAUGCCAUCACGCUUAUGUUAGCAAGUCUAUGCUGUUGCUUUCGUUUGCCAUGACAAGUCCAAUCUUUUGUUCAUUAUCUCCAUGUAAAAAUAUAUAAAAGAUAACACUAUUCUAAACUUUUUCAAUUUUACGUUACAAGAUGCUCUAAAUUAAAAAAAAAAAAUUAUGUUACAAAAAAUUUCUACUAAGACCUUUGGCUAGAUAUUUUUUAUGCACUAGCACUAGAAAUUUGUCUAGAUUCUGCCCAGAUAUUUAUCUCUUAAAAAUUGAAAUAAAACCUUCCCACGUUAUCCCAUUUUCUUCCAUGAAAAAGAUAUAUGAGCUAUGAUCUCUUGAAAAUAUAUCUUUUUUUUUCCAUUUAGCAAUCAGAAUACAUGUAUGAUUUUUAUUGAAAAUGAACCUAAUCAAACAAUAAUUUUACAAUAAUUUAAAGUUAGUUAAUUAAACAAAUGGGCAAUCGCAUCGCAUGAUUUUGGGGGAUGUCAAAAUUUAUCCCCCAUUUAAUCACCCUUCACUCAGUGACUUAAACAAAAGACACGUAUGGUUGCUGAGUUGGAUUGUACAAAGACUAGUCCUCACAAAAUUAAUCACACAACCUACAGGUCCAAAAUAUGACAAGUGUACAUCAUAGGGUUAAUCGAAGUCAAAUCACUGAGUCAGGGCUCGGGCGAUAGACCAUGACGAAAACGAAAAAAUUAUUGAAAGGGGCCCCGACAAGAAAAUCGUUUUCUUUUUCUUUGGCCAACAUCAAUCGCAUUCAAAACAUGCAGCAGCCGCUGCUGCUCCUUUCGCUACUAAACUGAAAAGGCAAAGCCCUCUGAAUACUUGAAGAAGAAAUUUUCUUUUACUCUUCAAAGCAAUACAGCCUCCUUUUUUAAGCUCAAAAUUUAUUGCUUAUUUUCGUCUUGCAGUCAUUAGUGCCAAGGCAAUCGUGCCUUGAGCCAAAGAAGCCAAAUCUGCACUGCAAAAGGCCCCACUUAGUAGCUAGAAUUCCCAUAUAUGGUAAAAAAAAAAAAAAGUAACUAUUCAAAUGAAGAUAUGUAUCUGAAAUUGUAUCCAGGGCAUUGAAUAUUUUAACCAAACACGGGCGUAAUUUAAAUCCAGAACAGUAUCAAUUAAGGACGAUAUGAGAAGUGGCUUCCAUGAAAAGCUAUGAAUUUUCAGAUUUGAUGUCUAUAGAAAUAAAUUCUUCUCAAGUUUAUAUUAAGCUAUCUUUUAUCUUCAUUGUAUGAUGCCUAAGGGAUAAUGUUGAAUAAUCCAAUAACUGCCAUACGCAACUCAUGUAACUGUAAAUGGUAAUAUAUUCCAUGGAAAAGAGACCGUCCAAAUCUAAAGAUAAAUUUGGGCACACAUUGAGAAUCAGAGAUGAUGAGAAUAUUCAUCAAUUGCCUUGUUGUCCAACUUCUUAAAAUUAAAAAAAAAAAAAAAGAUACCCAAAUCUCACAAAUUGGAUACUAUUAUUUCAUGAACAUUAUGAAGAUAAGAACACUAACAUACUAUGACGUCCUUAUUUCUAUUAGAAUAGAUUAAAAAAAUAUACUUAAUAGCGAUUGAUUCUCCAUAUUAAUUUCUGAAAUCGUAGAGAUUUAAGCAUCCAUAUUUGAAACGGAGAGUUUAACUGUGUAUGGAAGUCUUACACCACUCGAUUACACGGUAUGUGAAGCGGUAGCUAGUAUCAGAGCUAACUCCAGGUCUAAAAGGUGCUUUUUUUCUUUUUAUUUUAAAGGGUAAAAAGGGGGGCUAAAAUGCGCAUGAAUGUCACGUCAAAAAAAAAAGAAGCAAAAUAUUGUGAUGGCCACGUUCUUAUUGCUUUUAAAAAUUUAUUUACAGAGAAUUAAGUAGGAUUUCCCAUAGGGCCCGGCAACAAGGACGAAAACAGCCGUCUAUUAAGUAAUCACCCAACAACUCUCCCCUGUCAAAGCCUGUGCUUUAUGUCUCCCCAAAACCCAUUAUUAUUAUUGUUUUUUUCUGCGAACUUAUUAAAAUUUUAAGGAUCUUUAGUAAUUAAUUCUACCCACCUAAAUGUUUUAAGAGGUACAAAAUAAUGAACCUAUUAUUUUGCCUCCUAGAUUUGCAUUUAUUAAUGCAUAAAUAAAAAAAGUGCGCGUAUAUAAUAAUACCAUAAUUAUUUGAACUUUAAUUUAAAGCCCCAUUAAUAACAGAAUACAUCCCCACUUUUUUGUCGGAAAAAUAUUUAUAACUGAAUCGUCCAUGAGACUGUAUGACUAUGAUCAAUUCGUUCUAUCUUUAAAAAAAAAAUUCUUAAGAGCACAAACUUGUUAAAAGAAUAACCCUAGAACUAAAAAAAUAAUAAAUUAUCUUUGGCCCAUUCUCGUAUCUAUAAAUACCAAGCAAAUCUUCCAAUCCGUUAACUCAUCACUCAACACACUCACUAGCCAAAUAGUUCCCGAAAGAACAGUUUUUGCAUUUCACUUGCUUCCGCUUUCUUAAUUUGUUAUUACAUUAACACACAAUCACAAUGCAAUACCAAACGGAGUCAUGGGGCUGUUCGUACAUGCCGUCGUCGAGGGGCGCUCUCGGCGGGGACCCACUGGAGCACAUAGAGAGGCUGGCCUCGGAGAACGCCGUGGUCAUCUUCAGCAUCAGCAGUUGCUGCAUGUGCCACGCCGUGAAGCGCCUCUUCUGCGGGAUGGGCGUUAACCCCACGGUGUACGAGCUGGACGAGGACCCCAAGGGAAAAGAUAUGGAGAAAGCUCUCAUGCGCCUCCUCGGCACCUCCCCCGCAGUCCCCGUCGUCUUCAUUGGCGGCAAGCUCGUCGGCUCCAUGGACAGAGUCAUGGCUUCCCAUAUCAAUGGCACCCUCGUCCCGCUCCUCAAAGAAGCUGGCGCCCUUUGGCUUUGAAUUUCAUGAUCAGAAGUCCAUUUUCUCUUCUUAUAGCCCCCCACCCAAAAAAGAAAAAAAAUCACUUUAUUGUUAUUACAUUAAGAGAAACUAAAUGGCAGAGGAAGAGGAGUUUGUGUUGUGUUGUGUCUCCUCCAUUUUGGGUUGCAAAGAGGAGUUACGACUACUAGUAUUGUGUUAGCCAGCUUCUGCUUCUUCUUGUCUGUCUUUUAAUUGUGGCCGGCUCUUUACUUAUGUUUUGUUUGCUUUGUAUUUUCUUUCACUGAUGUAAUGUAAUCUAAGCUCCCUCCUCUGUAAUAUUAUUUAUAGAUAGAAAGCAAAAGCCGGUUUAUUUUAUCUUUUUUUUUUUCACAGUGCUUCUAUUCUUUUUACUGACUUGGGGUGGGGUGAGUGGAGGAAAAUUCGGAAAACAAAAAAGUUUCUGGUUUUGUGCCGGAAAACUCGCCGGGUGCAAACCCCACGCAGAAGAUGAACGUUCUUUCGGUGGAUGUGUUGUGUUUCGUUUGGUUUGGUUUGGUUUUGUUGGGUUGGGUUGGGUCCGGUCCGAGGAUAUCGUACAUUUCAUUUGAUCAAUUUAAUCCGAUAACCGUGCAUUUUUUUCAGCAUGGGCCAUCUUUUCAUUCUGAUCCAUUGUUCGCCAUCCGAAUGGAAUUGGACCUGGACCUGUACCUGUUCCCUCUUCUUAUUGGGGGGAAGGUUGGGUUGGCGUAUCAUUUAGUUUUCGAGGAAAGUGUAGGGGUUAAAAGAGUGCAUAUGUAGAGUGGGGUCAUCAGUCUUUUCCCCACUUUUAUUGAACUUCUCUGUCCGUACAUCUGGCUCCACCAUAAACCUCAUUUAACAGCACUGCGGCUACGCCUAUUAUCAUCGAUCUACAAUAACUUCGAUAUAUAUAUAUAUAUAUAUAUAUAUAUGUGUGUGUAUUUAUUAAUUUAUGUAUAUAUAUAUGUAUGUUUGGUUAUGUUGGAGUUAUUUCACCUUAGGUAACUCCAAUAAUCAUACAAUUAUAGUCAUGACCUGACGGCUAAAGAGAACGGAUUUAAUCGUUUGAUUAGAGUUGCUCAACUAAUGAUUUUUUCUUUAAAAAAAAAAAAAACUCAUUUUUAUUGCAAUUAGUUUAGCUCUCUCAUAUGAUGACAUUUGUCAUGUUCGUAAUGACGUGGUGAACUCUUUCUUCCCACGUAAGGCAGGCAUAUGUUCCCUCAUUGCUGUGGUCCGUGGUGACGGUUUAUGCUUGUACCCUCGAUUGAUAUUCCCACAGUUUCCUUAAUCCUUAUCUGCUUGAUUCGCUCUUUUUCCUUCUUUCUUCUUCCUUUUCGUUUAAAAACAUUAAUACGGUUAUAUAAUUCGUUGAAUCAAUCUCCACUAGUCUAUAAAGUGGACUUGAAUUCCUCCAUAUUCAAAAGUAAUUUAUAACAUGAUAUUAUUGGGUGGUUUUAGUAUCUCUUACGUUCAUAAAUUGUAAAUAUUGAAAUGUGAUGCAAUCAAUUUGAGCUUACUAUAUUUCAUGGGGAUUCUGUUAUAUGUUUAAGAAUUUUUUUUUCUUUCAAGAUUAGCUUGUCUUUAUCUCCAAUUCAUUUGUUGGAAUUUUAUUACUAUUUCAAAAUAUUAAUUUCCCACAUUUGAGGGAACUGAGAGCAAUCAUUUUUAUAUUUUAUUUAAAAUUAGUCACGCGUUUGAUUUACUUAUAAAUUAAAGUUGAAUAAGUCAAAUGUAGAUGUCAUUUACAUUAUUUAAAAAUUACAUAAAUUAUGAGGUAUAUGAAUGACUAAUUCAAAUUAAAUAAGGAAAGUGGGUGAUUAAUUUAUUUUGAAUUAAGAAAAAGAUUAUAGAGGGUUUCUCUAUAUAAAUGAGACAUAAAAAAACCUUUAAGGGACUGCAACCUCUAUUUUCUUCAUAAAAUAUUCUUUAUGUGCUUGGAGUACAACCUCACAACAGUAGCAUCAUUUGAGUCCUGGAGAUAAGCCCGUAUUAUUUGUGUCCUUAUUUCAUUGGAAAAUCUUUUUAUAAGAGUGAAAAUUGGUCAUGAGGACAAUGUAUUAUGCACGCCUUGACGAAUAUUGUGAUUGCUGGCAAGUGAACAUCGCUGUGAAUAGUAUUGACUGAACAACACCCAUCAAUAGCGACAUGAAUAGUGUUCGUAAAUAGUAAUGUGAACAAUAUUGACAACUACUAUUCAUAGGGCUCUAUUUGCAUGUCAAAAUUGCUGCUUCGGCUGGUUUCUAGAAAUUCAACAAAGCAAUAUUGACUCUUGUUUCCAACAUAUCACCUAAUACCUAAGCGGUUCACAAUAAGGAAAAAGAGAAAAAUCAAUGGCAGCACCCUAUUUCAUACGCAGGGAUGGAUCCAUAAAAUUAAUCUAUUAGGGACAGUACUAUAAUAAAAAAAUUAAUAAAAAUAAAUGUUUGGGAGGGAUACUGUUUGGGACAAAUGCGUCGAAGGGACCAGGAAUGACGAGCAGAUAUCUGAUGGCGGAGUUCUGCGAACCGGUGUGUUCCGUUAAAGCCUGGCGCGUGGAAGAACAGGAGCAGAAACAUCUUGCUCGUCCACGAUGUUGUCGUCCGCGAGGCCAAUUCCUAUAAAAGGCAUAAGGCCAUUCCGGCUAGAGAUCGAGAGGCGAGGAGACCCGGUCGACGGCAGUUGGCAAGACGUGCUCUCCAGCACGAGAAUCUAGGCACAACAGCCACGCUUUCCCCAGAACCGCGACGUAACACGCAAGAUCUCACAGAGCCAUGACAGCCACACUUUCCCCAGAACUGUGGCGUAACACGCAAGGUCUCACAGAGCCAUGGCAGCCACGCUUUCCCCUGAACCGUGGCGUAACACGCCAGAUCCCAUGUUUUGCCCAUAACGCAGCAGUUGGAGUCCCAUACCGUCUCGAAAAGAGCGGAAGACUGAGAUUCAGAGGAAGCCUAUAAAAAGGUAGCCAACGAAGGUAAAAGGGUUGGCAUUCUUGAGAAAAGGGGAGAAAACCACAAGAAACGCCAUAAGACCUGUGGCAAGCUUUUCCCGAACCUUCAUAUCUGACUUGAGCGUCGGAGGGUUUACGCCGGGAAAACAACCGGCGUACUCUGACUUAUCUGUGUACGCAGGGACCUCUGGAGAAGAAGCCUGGCGAGGAGACCUCCUGGUCGUGACGAAGUUGAUCGAGCAGAGAUCCUGAUCGUAGAACGAGGAGAACCGAAAUCUCGCAUCAACAUUUUGGCGCCGUCUGUGGGGAUCCAGAGCAAAAAGCUUCUGUCGAUAGCAAGAAGAGAGGUGGAGUAAGCGAAAGGCAAUGGAGAUAGGAGGAAGUAGCGCACAAGGGGGUGACAUAAGGCUUAACGAUUCCGUGACGCUGAGGGAGGUAAUCAGCGAAACACGGGAAAAAGUCAUGUUCGACCGGAUGGAGCGAAUGGAAAAGUAGAUGGAAACCUUGACAACCAUCCUGCAUGAGUUGCGGAACGAGCGAAGGGUAACCCAAGAGGGAAGGGUGAGAGGCGGUGGAGCGGCACCAGGUACCGAUAGUGCGGAGAGAAGUCAAACCGCUGGGAGAUUUGGUGGUGAGAGAGGUAACGUACCUCUGCGGGGAGAAUUUCAUAGAGAAAGAGAGCAGUCCCCGGUAAGACAGACUUGUGACGGGGGCGACGGGGUGGUGAAUGCAGAGGAAACAGAACUGAGGCAACACUUACAUGAUGUAGAGCGAGAGCGGGAUCAAGCUGCCGCGCGCGACCCUGGUCGCGCAGGACAGCUGGAGGAGGAAGUGCGAAGGCUAGCGCAAAUAAUUGACGACAUGCAAGGGAGGAACAGAGCCCCUGGUUGGAGGAUAAUGCUGGACGGGGAAUCACCGCUCGCAGCAGAGAUCAUGAGGGCAGUUAUUCCGAGAGAUUUCCGCCUCCCCGACCUCAAAUACUCGGGAAGAACUGACCCGCUGGUGCACAUAGAGCGCUUCAACGACAUAACGGGGGUCCAGGGAUUAUCUCCAUCCCAAAGGUGCAGGGUGUUCCCACUAUCCCUUGAGGGACGUGCACGAGAAUGGUACAGGAAACUUCCUCGGGGCAGCAUAAAAACCUUCGAGCAGAUGUGCCAGGAAUUCGCAGAGCAGUUUAGUGGGGCAAUGUCACCGGAAGAUGACAUGAUGGAGCUGAAGAGCAUGAAACAGGGGGAGCAAGAAACCCUUCGGGAAUUCAUCAAGAGGUUUCAUCGGGCUGUCCUCGACUUGGGAGCCUUCAACCACCCUCAGGCGUUAAGGGGACUGAAAGAAGGGGUGAAGAUAUGAAGGCUGUGGUACAAUUUGAGAAGCCCAGCUAUUCAAACGUAUGCAGCCGCAUACGAACAGGCUAAAAGAGACAUCGAGAUUGAGGAGGAGAAGGCUGCACGGAUCAAGACAGACCAGUUGGAAGGGUUAGGGAGGAAAGAGAAGAAAGCAUUACCAACUAAUGGGCCGAUCAGGAGGAGGGACCACCAGAUCUCCGGUAGUGGAGCAGGAGGUAGGGUAAUUGCUUACCAGCCUCAUCAGAGGCCGCCACAGUAUCAGCGCAGCAGGGCGCCACCUCCUCGUUCCCCAGCUAGGGAGCCUUGGAGAAGACAUGAUCCGGCAUCCGGCGAUCUUCAUCAACAUUCCCACGAUAGCAGGACGAGCAGACCAGAAGCACUCCCAUCGCCCCCAACUCACAGUGGGGCAAACAGAGAAAGAGCAGUGCAUCUGGUCGACCAGAACCAGGACUAUGGGCGGUACACUCCCUUGAAGAUGCCCCUGGAUGAGGUGUACGAGGCCAUAAAGGGUCGAGGGCUGUUGCACCUCCCUACACCAAUAACAAAGCUACCCAACAGGAGGGAUAGAGGACGUUAUUGUAAGUUCCAUGGCACCCAUGGCCAUACCACAGCAGAGUGUAGAGAUCUCAAGACCCAGGUCGAAGAUUUGGUGAGAAAUCGGUACCUGGACGAGUUUAUGGAUGAGACUUUCCCGAUGGUGGCCACAACGGAUGAAGGGGAGCAGAGUGAUGGAAUCUUGGGACGCGAGCCGCCCGCAGCGAGGGUGAUAGCUGGGGGCCCAACGUUGGCCGGAGAUUCGAACAGAUCGAGAAAAAAUUAUGCCAGAUACGCCAUGACCAGUAAAGAGAUACUCUUCAACACCCCAGCAGCCAAACGAGCAAGGGUCAGGCAAGUGCCAAUCAUGUGGACGGAUGAGGAUGAGGAAGGGAUUCUAUACCCCCACGAGGACGCUUUAGUCAUCAAGGCUACGAUCGCUAGCAAGAAGUUUGACCGGAUACUGGUUGAUACGGGGAGCUCAGUUGAUGUGCUAUUUAAAUCAACUUUGGAAGAGAUGGGAAUAGCCGACCGGAAGUUGGAAUACACCAACACCUCCUUGAAGGGGUUCGGAGGAGGGAAGCUGGUCCCUCUGGGCGUGGUCGAACUGCCCAUCACAAUCGGGAGCCCCCCGACAGAAAGAACAAUGAUACUGGACUUCGUCGUAGUGGACGAGGAAGGUCCUUACCAGAUGAUCCUAGGUCGGCCAUUUUUAAGGAUGAGCAAAGCGGUGCUGUCCAACCAUUAUCUGGCUCUGAAGUACCGGGUGAAUGGGGUAGUCGGAGUGGUACGAGGAGACCAGAGGAUCGCAAGAAGCUGCUACUCCUCGGCAGCAAGGGAGGUGAUGCAGAUAACAUCCCUCGAUACCCGAGUGGAAAACAAGACUGGCAGACAAGAACCCGUAGAGGAUCUGGAAACAGUAAGCAUGGGACCAGAGAACCCGGGAAAGACGAUCAGAAUCGGGUCGAGACUUGAGGGAGAGCAAAAGCAGGAGUUGGUGAAAUGCUUACAGGCUCAUGCCGACGUGUUUGCCUGGACACAUGAGGACAUGCCAGGGAUUGACCCAGAGGUAGCAUGUCAUAGGCUGGCAAUAAAGAAAGGUGCUCGGGCAGUAAGGCAGAAGAGGAGGUGCUUCAACCAGGAGAGGUAUGAGGCUGUAAAUGAUGAGGUGGAGAAGCUUCUGAGAGCAGGGUUCAUUCGGGAAGUCAAUUACCCAGAGUGGAUAUCAAAUGUGGUGUUGGUAAAGAAGGCAAACGGCAAGUGGAGGAUGUGUGUGGAUUUCACAGACCUCAAUAAGGCGUGCCCAAAAGAUAGCUUCCCUUUACCAAAGAUCGAUCAGCUAGUAGAUUCAACGGCUGGACAUGGUCUGCUUAGCUUCAUGGACGUAUUCUCGGGAUACAACCAGAUCCCCAUGUACGAGCCGGAUGAGGAGAGCACGGCUUUCAUCACUAACCAAGGUCUGUUCUGUUACAGGGUGAUGCCAUUCGGUCUCAAGAAUGCUGGGGCCACCUAUCAAAGGCUGGUGAAUAAAGUCUUUAAGCCCUUGAUCGGGAAAACCAUGGAGGUGUACGUGGACGACAUGAUCACCAAGUCCAAAAUCCCGAAGGAACAUGUCAGACAUCUCGAGGAGACGUUCGAGCUUUUGAGGAAGUAUAAGAUGAAGCUCAACCCGGAGAAGUGUGCUUUUGGGGUCGAGUCAGGGAAAUUCCUGGGAUUCAUGGUGAGCCAUAGGGGGAUUGAAGCAAAUCCCGAGAAGAUCCAGGCGAUUGUGCAAAUGACGUCUCCUCGAAACCUGAAGGAGACGCAGAGCCUCAUGGGGAGGUUGGCGGCGUUGAGCAGAUUCAUAUCCAAGGCUACAGAUAAGUGUCAGCCAUUCUUUCAAGUGAUAAGGAGGGGAAAGAAAACGGAAUGGACCCCAGAAUGCGAGGAAGCCUUCCGGAACUUGAAGCAUUACUUGCAGCAAGCUCCGCUACUGUCCACACCGAGGGAUGGGGACAAGUUGAAUCUGUAUUUGGCGGUAUCUGAUCGGGCCGCCAGUUCCGUUCUAGUGAGAGAGGAAGAAGGAAUUCAGUAUCCGAUAUACUACACCAGCAAGGCCCUGCUCGACGCUGAGACCAGAUACCCAACGAUGGAGAAAUGGGCACUGGCCCUUGUGGUUGCUGCUCGGAAGUUGAGGCCGUACUUUCAAGCAUUCCCGGUCUCGGUAAUAACCAACCAGCCAUUGCGUCAAAUUCUGCACAAGCCAGAUGCCUCUGGUCGGCUCGUCAAAUGGACUGUAGAGCUGAGCGAAUUCGACAUAGACUAUAAACCCCGCGCGGCGAUAAAGGCCCAGGCAAUGGCCGAUUUCGUAGCUGAGUUCGCGGAGCCCGAAGUAUGCUUGGAUCAGCAAGAUGCAGAUAUAGGCAACGACGAAACUCAAGUAUGGCAGAUAUCUGUGGAUGGGUCAUCAGGAGAGCGGGGUUCAGGAGCAGGGAUUGUCCUGGAAGGCCCAGAGGGGGAGGAGAUCUCUUAUGCUGUAAAGUUGGAAUUUGCAGCCACAAAUAACCAGGCAGAAUAUGAAGCCUUGAUAGCAGGGCUGGAAUUGGCUAGGGCCGUGAAAGCGGACAGAGUUAAGAUCAGAACCGAUUCCCAGCUGGUUGCGAAUCAUGUCAGUGAAAGAUUCCAACCAAGAGAGGAGAAGAUGGAACAGUACCUAAGGAUAGUCAGGCAGAUGAUGGGGAAGUUCGAAGCAGUGGAGGUGAUACAAAUCCCCAGGGAGCAGAAUAGUCGAGCAGACAUUUUGGCUAGGAUGGCAGCCGUAGCCGACCCAAAAAUGCCAAAGUCGGUCCCCCUAGAAGUGAAGUCUCGCCCGAGUAUCGAGCAAAAUUUGGGGGUGUUGCGGAUAGAACAAAAAAGCUCGUGGAGGGACCCGAUAGUUUCAUACCUUAGAGACGGGGUCUUACCGCCAGAUAAGCUACGGGCUCGGAAGAUUAGAGCUCAGGCCUCGAGAUACACGAUGAUCGAUGGGGUACUGUAUCAGCGAGGAUAUACAUUACCGUUCCUUCGGUGUUUGGACGAUGACGACGCGGAUUACGUGCUGAGGGAAGUACAUGAAGGAAUUUGCGGAAAUCAUUCUGGCGGGAGGUCCCUGGCCCACAAGGUUCUAAGGCAGGGAUAUUUCUGGCCGACGAUGCACCAGGAUGCGCAAAGGAAGACCAGGAGCUGUGCAAGCUGCCAGAGUUUUGCAAAUUUCUCUAACCAACCACCAGAGAAGCUCACCUCCAUGGCCUCCCCUUGGCCAUUCGCUCAAUGGGGAAUUGAUCUGAUCGGCCCAUUGCCAAAGGGACGAGGAGCAGCAACACACGCAAUAGUCGCUAUAGAUUACUUCACGAAGUGGAUAGAGGUAGAAGCCCUUAGCAGGAUCACAGAGAAGAAAACAACAGACUUCGUGUGGAGAAACCUGGUCUGUCGAUACGGGAUCCCAUAUGCCUUGGUAACGGAUAAUGGCAGGCAGUUCGAUAAUCACAGCUUCAGGGAUUUCUGCCAGAACCUCGGGAUAGAGCUGAAGUAUUGCUCGCCUGCUCACCCUCAAUCGAAUGGACAAGUAGAAGCAGCCAACAAGACAGUCAAGAGGCUUCUGAAAACCAGGCUCGGAGCAAAAAAGGGUGCGUGGGUUGACGAGCUGUCAGGUGUGCUAUGGGCAUACAGAACAACCCACAAAACCGCAACGGGGGAGACACCGUUCGCUUUGGCUUUCGGACAUGAAGCGGUCGUGCCGGCUGAGGUAGGAACGACCACACACCGGACAGAUCAUUUCAAUGAACAGGAGAACGACGAGCAGAUAUGUUUGAAUCUUGAUCUGCUAAUGGAGAGGAGGGAACAAGCAGCCGAGCGAUCAGUCACUUACCAACAGAGGGUUGCUCGGUAUUAUAACCAGAAGGUGAACAUACGGCAAUUCAGGGUCGGAGACUGGGUACUGAGAAGAGUGAAUCAGAGCACCAAAGAUUCGACUCAAGGAGUGCUGGGACCGAAUUGGGAAGGGCCGUAUAGAGUCAAGCAGAUAGCGGGGCCCGGAGCUUACAAGCUGGUUCGCGCGGACGGCCACGAAGUGAAACGCCCAUGGAACGCAGCACACCUCCGAAAAUACUUCCAGUAAGACUUGCUCACAUUUUAAAGCAAUUUCUGCUCAUGCUGUUUAUCUUUUAUUUUUAUGUUUUAUGUCCGAACAAUUUCAUGUAAGUCAAAUCCUGCCAUUAAUGUAACGUCGACGAAUUUUAUUCGCUUGAAACCGAAAAAAAUCCUAAGGCAUGCAAAGGCUCGUCAAGUCUCAGAGCCUGUCUUAUGGCGAGACAGAAGCCAAGCAUGCCAGGAUCUGCUCGGCCACGAGAAGGCAGCAGAAUCCAAAUCGUUUGAAAAAAAUACUAAGGCAUGCAAAGGCUCGUCAAGUCUCAGAGCCUGUCUUAUGGCGAGACAGAAGCCAAGCAUGCUAGGAUCUGCUCGGCCACGAGGAGGCAGCAGAAUCCAAAUCGUUUGAAAAAAAUACUAAGGCAUGCAAAGGCUCGUCAAGUCUCAGAGCCUGUCUUAUGGCGAGACAGAAGCCAAGCAUGCCAGGAUCUGCUCGGCCACGAGAAGGCAGCAGAAUCCAAAUCGUUUGAAGAAGAUUCCCAAGGCAUGCAAAGGCUCGACAAAGUCUCAAAGCCUGUCUUAGGGCCAGACAAAAGCCCAGCAUGCCAGGAUCUGCUCGUUCGCGAGAAGGCGAGCAGACUCCAAGGCAUUCGGAAAGUUUUCUACGGCACGCAAAGGCCUCACCAAGUCUCAAAGCCUGUCUUACGGCGAGACAGAAGCGAUCAGCGUUUCAGACGAAAAUUAAUUCAUAAGUACGACACGAGAUAGUAAUCAACAACAUUUUUAUUAAUGGCUAACAGAGGGGAUAAAUUUCAUAAACGUUGUUCAUUACAAUACAAGAAGAAAUAUAUCAAAAAGAUGGUGGAUCAGUGAGCCGAGCAGCAUCGGUUGGCUGGACCUCCUCGGGUGCAGGGGGGGUAUCACCAGUUGCGUCCGGGGGGUGCUCGCCUCGCCAACAUCAGCAGGGACUGCACGAGGAGGAGAGUUACCCUCCUCAAUCACGAUCGGCUCUAACCCCUCGGCAUCUUCCUUGGCCGCCUCCUCGUCCAUAUGCUGAGCAACACCAGCUGCAAGGUCAUCCAUCUUCAGAUCAGGGUGUCGCUUCCCGAGGACAGCCAUGAUGCAACGGUAGGAAUGCCGAAGUCCCUGGUCGUACUGGUUGUCGACUUCUCUCUCUAAGUUCUCGACUUCCCUCUCCAAGUUCUCGACCUGGGCUCGGUGGGAGUCGCGGAGAGAUUCGAGCUGAGCCGCGUACAUAGCCAUCUGCCUUUGCAUAUCCUCCUUGACCUUGGUAAGCUCCUCCUCGAGGGUAAUGGCUUUUGCUUGAGCAAGUGAUUCUUGCUCUAUCAGCUUCAGGUUCUCGAGAUUCAGCUCCCCUGCUUUCUUCUCGGCAACGUCAGCUCUGGUCGUCGCCGAUUGAAUAUCUUCCUUCAUCUUCCGGUCGUAGCGGCCCACCUUAGCCUUGUAAUAGGUGGUCAUGCAGCUGAGGUGGAAGGCGCUAUGCUACAUGGCCCCCACCAGCUCACCCAAGGUGCGGCCGUCAAAAUCCUCCAGCUCCUUCUUGCUCACGAGUUUGGUUAACUCAUUGAGGUAAGGGACCAGAUGUUCUGCUCGGCUGUCGGGUAAGCGAGAUCGAGGCCCGACAGGAAGAGAAGAGGUAGCAGGACCUGUGGCUGCUCCACUGGCUUCCCCAACUUUUUCAGGGGCUGGAGGUAAAAUCUUCAAGGGUGGGGCCUGCUGCACGACGUUGGCCCGCUUUGCAGUAGGGGCAUCCUUACUGUGGUCCCCCUUCGUGGUUGGAGGUCGAGAACGUUUUCGGGUCAGGGCCCCAAUCACAGCGUCCUCCAUCCUAUGGCCAGGAAGUAUCAAGCGAGACUCGAGCAAGUUGUAUGUGCUUAACAGUUCUCGGCUCGAGCAAGAAUUGGCCCGUACCGCCUCGACCCGUUUGAGCUGGUCAGGUUUGAGCGGGAAGUGGACACCCCAAGAAACUACAACACAAACAGACACUUGGUUAGAGACAAGCCAAUAAAACAAGGACAAUUAUGGAUACAAGACAUCUGAAGCGAGCAGGCAACCUGGGACCGUGAAACGGGGCGGGACCCGGUAAUCCUUCCCGUCCAUUUGUGCGACCUGACCCCAAGGACCCCCAGCAAAAAAGAACUUUCUCUUCCAAUUCCCACCACCACCAGUAGGGAGGUCGGUUAUGGGUUUCCUGGUCUUGGUGCUAGAUUGGAAGUAGUACCAACCGGCAUCUUUGGGGCUGCUCUUUAGCUGGUACAGGUGCUUCACCUCAUCAAUUGUGGGCUCGCUUUGACAACAUCUGUCCCACAAUAUGAACAGACCAGAGAGCACUCUCCAACCAUUUGGGUUCAGCUGACCAGGAGAUAGAUUUAGCCCGCUAAGUACCCGGGCAAAGUAAGGUUGCAAGGGACAUCUCAGCCCGUACUUAAAGCUAUCCAGGUACAGGGUAACAUAUCCCCUAGGAGGCCGGCUAGGAGCAUCCUUAUUUCCUGGGACCUUGAGAAGUAUUUCACCAGGAAUGCUAUACCUCAGCCGGAGGUCCUCGAGCUCAUCAAACGUGGUCGUGCACGUCAUGUAAUCAAUAGCGUAGUCCCGCGAUAGGGCUCUACCUCCUAUUCUACUCCUCCCUUCUGGUCGCGGCGCUCCUGAUGGGGACGCCUCACCAGAAUCAUCCCCUUGACCCUCACUCAAGGUGUUCUCCGAUCCAGAAGAUCCUUCUUCAUCGCUACUGUCGCUCGAGGAGGUUGUUUGGGGAGACAUCCUCCUAGCGCUAGUACCAACACUAGACCUAAUGGGCUCUAAGGGGAUCCCGGGAUCAAAAGCGGGAUCAGCGAGCAGACUAGGUGGGAAGUCCAACUCGUCGUCGUCAACCUCAAUGACCUUCUCUUUGCCCUUCGACAUUCCCUAAACUCUACCACAACGCCACCAACUACUACCCAAACGAAAGAAAAAAGAAGUUAUCUAUAAACUAUCCGAGACCGAGGAGAGAGAAGUAAUACCUGAAGUACUGCUCCAAUCGGAGAAAGGCAAGGAUGGGGGCUUCGUGCCGGAACUUCUUUGCCGGAGAAACAGAGACGUAGACGGAGACAGAGUGAAUGGUGAAUAUGCCGUUCGAGAGGAUUUGGCUUUCCAAAUGAGGACGGACUCUUGGGUUGCCAGCAUAUAACUGCGCCGAAUCCCGAGGAUCUCGUAACCGUCGGUUUGAAAUUCAAAUGGAGGGGGGGAUUUCUGCCACGUCACCUCAUCCGCAAUUAAAUGCGACAUGACUCCUGGCAGCCUUUUCCAAACCCACGCGAGCGAGUACUAUCGAGUUUCUACUGCUGGUCCACUACAUUACCCAACACCAGAAACUGGGGGACCGGUGUUUGGGAGGGAUACUGUUUGGGACAAAUGCGUCGAAGGGACCAGGAAUGACGAGCAGAUAUCUGAUGGCGGAGUUCUGCGAACCGGUGUGUUCCGUUAAAGCCUGGCGCGUGGAAGAACAGGAGCAGAAACAUCCUGCUCGCCCACGAUGUUGUCGUCCGCGAGGCCAAUUCCUAUAAAAGGCAUAAGGCCAUUCCGGCUAGAGAUCGAGAGGCGAGGAGACCCGGUCGACGGCAGUUGGCAAGACGUGCUCUCCAGCACGAGAAUCUAGGCACAACAGCCACGCUUUCCCCAGAACCGCGACGUAACACGCAAGAUCUCACAGAGCCAUGACAGCCACACUUUCCCCAGAACCGUGGCGUAACACGCAAGGUCUCACAGAGCCAUGGCAGCCACGCUUUCCCCUGAACCGUGGCGUAACACGCCAGAUCCCAUGUUUUGCCCAUAACGCAGCAGUUGGAGUCCCAUACCGUCUCGAAAAGAGCGGAAGACUGAGAUUCAGAGGAAGCCUAUAAAAAGGUAGCCAACGAAGGUAAAAGGGUUGGCAUUCUUGAGAAAAGGGGAGAAAACCACAAGAAACGCCAUAAGACCUGUGGCAAGCUUUUCCCGAACCUUCAUAUCUGACUUGAGCGUCGGAGGGUUUGCGCCGGGAAAACAACCGGCGUACUCUGACUUAUCUGUGUACGCAGGGACCUCUGGAGAAGAAGCCUGGCGAGGAGACCUCCUGGUCGUGACGAAGUUGAUCGAGCAGAGAUCCUGAUCGUAGAACGAGGAGAACCGAAAUCUCGCAUCAACAAUAAAUAUUCAAGUUUGAUAUUCAUUGAUAAUCAACUUAGGGAAGGAAUAAAUUACCUUAAUAUAGCAAAUAAUUGUGUUCAUAAUUUUUAAAUUUGUAAUUGUGCCUUCUAGUUGAUAAAAUGAGACAAAGAAAGAGGAUGAAUUUUGAUGGAUUAAAAGAGGGCUGUGUUGAUUAAGAGUGAGAAAGGAGAGGAAAGAUCUCUGUUUUCUAGAUUCACAGUGGUGAGCCGUGUACGAGAUUUGGCAGAUAAGAAAAUCGUUUGGUUCAUAUUUUGAGUUGGAAAUAUUAAUUUGCCCCCACCGCAAAACGCAAUUUAUAAAAUUGAUUCAUUAUUAAUUUUUUAUAAAAUUACCUCACUAUGAAGUAAUUAUCCCGAAAAUUAACAUGAAGUUUAAACAAUUUUUUUUUUCCACUGGCGUCAAUUGCCCCCACUGCCCAAUAAAUAGAUCCACCCCUGUCCAUAGGCAGCUCAUAUUUGGAGGUUCCAAAAGACAAAUGAGAUGGGGAUGAAGAAUGGAACAUUCUCAUGGUUAUAAUAUUAUUAAUAGACCAAAAAGUAUUUGCGACUUUAACAAUUAAAAAAUUAAUAUUUUUUAAAAAAAAGUAGUAAAGUUUUGCUUAAAAUAAGGAUUUUAGUUGAAAAUUGAAAAGUUUGAUGGAACAUGAUCUGUUUUUGAGUCGGGCAAUCAUCAUUUUGAUACAUUCCUUUAAGAUAUUGUAAAUUUGAAUUAAUACCCUAUCUAUUAGGUUAUCUUAAUCAAAUAGGUCGGUACAUAGGCAUCUAUUAUAUGGAUUCUGUCUACAGAAUCUAAAAUUAAAAUAGUGAUGGAUGAGAUGAGCCUCUUCGGGAAUCAGGAAGAUGGAAAAAGAGAAAAUCUAAAAUGAUUUUGGAAGCUAUUUUGUAAAUUUUAUUGUACUAGUAAACAUAAGAAUCUAUUAAAAUAUAUAUUAAGAAUAACGAGGUUGAAGUCGUAGGAACUUUUUCUUUUAAGAAAGGAAAAUUUAAUCUAAAUUAAUUAUAAUCGAUCUUAGUUGAAAAGAAAAUAUUUUGUUUCAGAAAAUUAAAACCAAAGAUGCAAGUAAAUUAACAUAAGAACCAAGAGAUUGAGGUUACCAAGUUUCAGUAUCCACCAUAAUUCAAUUUAACAAUUAUCUAAUUACCAAUCGAUUCAAGAGACUGGGGCUAGUAAGUUUCAAAAUCAACUAAAGUUCAACUUAACAAUUAUCUAAUUACCAAUCAAUUUUUAAUUUUAGAAUGUCUAUUCAUAAAUAUAAUAAUCAAGCCUAAUUAAAAUUAAUUUUAUGAAUACUCUUUUUCUACUUCAUAAUGCGAUAUCUAAAUAUUUUAAGUAAAUAAUAUUGAAUAAUAAAGAGUUAAGAGUUUAUUUGAGCACUCUAUGUAAACUAUUUGAUGAAAGAAAGAAAAUUAGGAGUGGUAAAAAAGCCCGAGCCGGCCCAGGCCCACAAUGUGUGGGCCUAAAACAAAUUGCAAAGCCCACAUAUGUUAGGUCUGAACAAGGGCUUAGCAAAAAAGCCCGGACUUGGCUCGGGCUUUUUAAAUUUAUGAAUAAAAAAUAAAAUUAAUUUAAAUAAAAAAGAAAAAAACUCAAAAUAUUAAAUUAGUUUAAUUUUUUAUAUUAGUAUUUGUUAUUUUAUUAAGUUGUAUUACUAAUAUUUUAUGUAUUGGACUAUUAUUUUAUUAUAUAUUAGAUGAUUAUCUUUAAUUUAAAUAUUUUUUUUAAUUUAAAAAUAUUUUAUAAUUAAUUUAAAAAGCCCGAGCCCGGCCCGUCUAAAUUUGGACGGCUUUUUGAAGGGCCUGGACUUUGUUUGAAUGAUGUGGGCUUAGGCCUGGGUUUCGAAAAGCCUGGCCCAAGCUCGCAAAUCGCCAACCCUACAGAAAAUUAAAGAUAAUCAUGCAUAAAUUUUAUAGAUUUAAGUGUAGAUUUGAUUUAAUAUUAAUCCCAACAAUCAAUAAUGCAGGACAAAAUUAGUGAAGAUAUUUAAUAAUAGUCAACCAAACAUAUAAAAAUAAGAAUUAUCCACAUUAAAACACACAUAUAUAAGAAGAUAACCGAAUAAAAUGUAAUUUAUUUAAUUAAACAAGAAAUUAUCUUUAACAUUAGUAUGAAAAAUGAAAAAGACAUGGAGAGAUUGAAAACAAUAAAACCGAUAAAAAGCCAAGCCUUCAGCGGCCUUCAAUUCCUUUCUGUCUCGCUGAAAGCUUGGCUUUGUAAGGGUGUUCAGAAUCCAAUCCGAUCCGCUCAAUCCGUCUGAUCCGUAAAAAUCUGAUCUGUGGACCUGUGGAUUGGAUAUGGAUUAAAAUUUUAAAAAUCCGCAGUCGAUGGAUUAGAUAUGGAUUUACUUCUGUAAAUCCGUAAAAAUUCGUGAAUUCGCAAAAAAAAAAAAAAAAAAAAAUAUAUAUAUAUAUAUAUAGUUAAAAAAUUAUUAUAAAUUUAAUUAAAUAAUAUUAUAAAUGUGACAUUACAUAGUUACAUAAGCACUAUAACAUAUCUUAGCCAUUACCCAAUAAUAAUAUUAAUUAAAAAAUAAUUAAAUAAUCAAAUAUACAAUAUAACUUGUAAAAAUUGUAAAACAAAAUAAAAACAAAGUCACUAGCAACAGCAAAGUAACAUAACGGCAAGUUACCAACAAUUUGUAAAGUCACCCAAAAGCAAAGUAACAUAACGCCAUGAUGAGAACCAUCAAGGGAAUACCAUUAAAGUUUCAAGUGAUCCUUUGCACAUUCAUAGAGGCCCAAUUACAAGGGCUAGAGCAAAAAAGAUGCAAGCUGCUUUAAAUUGAUUAAUUGAGAAAAUAUGAAUUGAAAAUGCAAUUCAAGAUGCAAGACAUCAUGAAUUGGGCUUGAAGAGAAGACAAGGCAUUGUGGGCAUUAUUCAAGUUAUUGGGCAGCCAAAUACACAAUUUGUAUCAAAUGCAGAAAGGUCAAAUUCGGAAUAAAACUAGUAUUGAUUGAGCCAAAAGUAAUGUGCAAACUAUAUACCGUUGGAAAGAUAAUUACGUUAGCUUUCCAAUGCAUUUUACAGAGUUAGAUUUGAAGUUCUCUAAAAGGAGUUAUGACCAAUUCAUUACAGCUUGUUCAGACUUGAGAUUUUCAACGACUCAUUUAUUUUUCAACUUCAUUUCUUUAUUUUGUUUCAAGUUUGUCAAAAGUUUAUCAAUGUGUAAGGUAAGUCUACUAGGAAUGGCAAAAGGUCGUGUCGGGCUCGGGCUUGACCAAGCCCGAACCCGACCCGAUCAAAAAAAUUUGAAGCCCGACCCUAAAAAAGCUCGAACAUUUUAUAGUUAGGGUCGGGUCCGACCCGGCCCGAAUCAAGUCAACGUCAGGUCGGGCCCAACCCGACCCUACCAAAAUAGUUUUCAUAUUAUUUUAAUAUUAAACUAUUUUUUAACGUUUUGUUUUAUAUUCAUGUUAUUUUAAUGUUUUUCUUCUAUACAUGCACCUUAAUUCAAUAAUUUAGGCAACUCAAAUUUGUCAAUAUCUUGUAAUUUUAUGACCACAUCCCAAAUUCAUUCAUGUUACUUUUUAAUUUUUGUUCUCUUUCUAGUUAUAAUACCAUGAAUAUAAUACAAAAGAAAUAAUUUUUCUAAUUUAAAAUAAUUAACAAGACAAAUGCAAAAUAUACAAUAUAAUUAAUCACAAAAUAAUGCACAAAACAACCAAUUAAUAGGAAUAAUUUUUUAAAUUCAAUUCCAUAAUCCAACUUUAAAAACACACAAUGCGAUUAAAUUAAAAAAAACACACAAUUUAAUUCCACAACCAUUUCAACCCCACACACAAAUCAAUUCCAAAAUCCAACAUGAAAAACUCAUAAUGCAAUUAAAUUAAAAAUACACAUGUAAUUUCACAACCAUUUUAGCCAUACACAAUUCAAUUCAACAAUCCAACAUAAAAAAUAAAAAAUAAAAAACUCAUGUCUUAUACAAAUAAAAACACACAAUUUAGUUCCACAACCCAACAUUAAAAAAAAAAACAUGUCUUAUGUUGAGUGUUAGAAAAUGCAUAUUUAUAAAGGAGAAAACCGUUAUUUUACAUUUCAAGUCUUACUAACAACCCUUACUUUUAUGUAUUUAACCUACUUGUGAUUUAAUUACAUGUGUUUUAUUUUAAUUAAGUAUUUUAUGUAUUUUAGGGGCAUUAUAGUCAUUUCACAAUAAACGAGAAAUCAGAUGGCAAAACGGACAUCACUUUUGAACUCAGGACGGUCGAAAACCUUAGGAGGAGCAUAAAAGGAAAAAUGGCACUGUUCACAUGUACGGUACUGUAUACGUUACUGUUCACGACACUGUUCACAUAGACGGACCGAUGACGUGGCAUUGACUGAUGAGGUGUCACGAUCCUGUUGGACUAAAAUUCUUAUAUAUUGUUGAUGGUGACGUGGUAGCAUAUCAGUGGACGAAAAAUUUCGCAUACGGUGCAUGCAUCACACAGGAUUAUUUUCAACCAAACCGCGUUACUGAUCAUCCGGGUCAAAUCGUGUUACUGUUCAUCCGCGUGGUCAAACCGUGGACUGUUGACUGAUGACGUGGCGCAAUCCUGAGCGUCCAAACUGUUUUUAAUCCGAUGGCCAUGAUUUACUCCAUGUAUCUAUAAAAAGGGGGCCUCUCCUCCCUAAUUUGAUAUCUCUUAAUUCAUUUUUGGGAUCCAUUUUCUGUAAUUCCUUCUCCAUCUUGUAUUUUCUUCGUAUUUUAAUAAAUUCCCAUUUUGCCCCUAGUUCAAUUAUGAGUGGCUAGUUUUCUUUCAAGCUUGGGUUGAAGAUGAAGUCUCAACAUGUGUCAUGGGCUUAAUUUGAUAAAUUUAUUUUCUAUUCCCCUCUAGUUUUUGUGGAUGUUUUGACUUCUCGUCGACAAAUAAUAUUAAUCUUGUCUAGUACCGCCUUGGUUUCACCGGCCCUCUAGUACAAGGUUAUUAUUAUUUGGCACGAUAAGCCCUUAGCACCAUAUUGAUUAGAGCGUGGUUCAUGAGGUGUAGAUUCCCCCCUCAUGAUUUAAUGGACAUUAAUACGGAUUAUUUAGCCCAUGAUGCAUGUUGAUACGAAUCCAGAUACCCAAGUACGUCAUUUCAAUAGAAUUCUCUUUAAUUUAUUCUCACCAUUUCAAUACCAAUUUUAGAAUUUAUUCUCGCCAUUUUAUUUUAAGUUUUAGCAUAUUCCAAAUCAUUUCCACCGCAAAUCCAAUCACCCAUUUACAAAAUUAAUUCUAUACACAAUUAAAAUUCACCUCCUCGUGGGAUCAACACUCGUCACCAUUAGUCUAUACUACAAUAGAUUCGUGCGCUUGCGAGUACAUUAAAAUUUGCACAACAAGUUUUUGGCGCCGUUGCCGGGGAGGUAAGUAAUUUUAAUUCAUAGAAUUAAUUUUUGUGAAUAAUUUCUUUUAUU